GAGUUUGAUCCUGGCUCAGAUUGAACGCUGGCGGCAUGCCUUACACAUGCAAGUCGAACGGCAGCACGGGAGCUUGCUCCUGGUGGCGAGUGGCGAACGGGUGAGUAAUGCAUCGGAACGUAUCCUGGAGUGGGGAUAACGUAGCGAAAGUUACGCUAAUACCGCAUAUUCUGUGAGCAGGAAAGCGGGGGAACCUUCGGGGCCUCGCGCUCUUGGAGCGGCCGAUGUCGGAUUAGCUAGUUGGUGAGGUAAGGACUCACCAAGGCGACGAUCCGUAGCAGGUCUGAGAGGAUGAUCUGCCACACUGGAACUGAGACACGGUCCAGACUCCUACGGGAGGCAGCAGU
Molecule: ribosomal RNA, 347 nt
Filed under: bacterium enrichment culture clone ALO1_GLFRUDD03GJG9A
Lineage: Bacteria
Description: bacterial SSU rRNA
Rfam family: Bacterial small subunit ribosomal RNA
Source: RNAcentral